GACGAACGCUGGCGGCGUGCCUAAUACAUGCAAGUCGAGCGGACCAAAGGGAGCUUGCUCCUGGAGGUUAGCGGCGAACGGGUGAGUAACACGUGGGCAACCUGCCUGUAAGACUGGGAUAACAUCGAGAAAUCGGUGCUAAUACCGGAUAAUAAAAAGAACUGCAUGGUUCUUUUUUGAAAGAUGGUUUCGGCUAUCACUUACAGAUGGGCCCGCGGCGCAUUAGCUAGUUGGUGAGGUAACGGCUCACCAAGGCGACGAUGCGUAGCCGACCUGAGAGGGUGAUCGGCCACACUGGGACUGAGACACGGCCCAGACUCCUACGGGAGGCAGCAGUAGGGAAUCUUCCGCAAUGGACGAAAGUCUGACGGAGCAACGCCGCGUGAGUGAUGAAGGUUUUCGGAUCGUAAAACUCUGUUGUUAGGAAGAACAAGUGCCGUUCGAAAGGGCGCACCUUGACGGUACCUAACGAGAAAGCCACGGCUAACUACGUGCCAGCAGCCGCGGUAA
Molecule: ribosomal RNA, 510 nt
Filed under: uncultured bacterium
Lineage: Bacteria
Description: bacterial SSU rRNA
Rfam family: Bacterial small subunit ribosomal RNA
Source: RNAcentral